This 240-nucleotide ribosomal RNA is filed under the name uncultured bacterium. RNAcentral's name for it is "partial 16S ribosomal RNA". It matches the Rfam family "Bacterial small subunit ribosomal RNA", at positions 15 to 244 of the family's 1533-position model. The record is from RNAcentral.
GAUCCUGGCUCAGGAUGAACGCUAGCUACAGGCUUAACACAUGCAAGUCGAGGGGAAACGGCAUUUAGUGCUUGCACCGAAUGGACGUCGACCGGCGCACGGGUGAGUAACGCGUAUCCAACCUACCCAUUACUGUGGGAUAACCUGCCGAAAGGCAGACUAAUACCGCAUGGUCUUCGAUGACGGCAUCAGAUUUGAAGUAAAGAUUUAUCGGUAAUGGAUGGGGAUGCGUCUGAUUAG